Molecule: ribosomal RNA, 2046 nt
Filed under: human gut metagenome
Description: bacterial LSU rRNA
Rfam family: Bacterial large subunit ribosomal RNA
Source: RNAcentral
UGUGGCUGGGGGUGAAAGGCCAAUCAAACCGGGAGAUAGCUGGUUCUCCCCGAAAUCUAUUUAGGUAGAGCCUUGAGCGGACACCUUCGGGGGUAGAGCACUGUUUCGGCUAGGGGUCCAUCCCGGAUUACCAACCCGAUGCAAACUACGAAUACCGAAGAGUGAUACUCAGGAGACACACGGCGGGUGCUAACGUCCGUCGUGGAGAGGGAAACAACCCAGACCGCCAGCUAAGGUCCCAAAGUCUAUAUUAAGUGGGAAACGAAGUGGGAAGGCUUAGACAGCUAGGAUGUUGGCUUAGAAGCAGCCAUCAUUUAAAGAAAGCGUAAUAGCUCACUAGUCGAGUCGGCCUGCGCGGAAGAUGUAACGGGGCUCAAAUAUAGCACCGAAGCUGCGGCAUCAGACGAAAGUCUGUUGGGUAGGGGAGCGUUCUGUAAGCGGAUGAAGGUGAAUCGAGAGGUUUGCUGGACGUAUCAGAAGUGCGAAUGCUGACAUAAGUAACGAUAAAACGGGUGAAAAACCCGUUCGCCGGAAGACCAAGGGUUCCUGUCCAACGUUAAUCGGGGCAGGGUGAGUCGGCCCCUAAGGCGAGGCUGAAAAGCGUAGUCGAUGGGAAACGGGUUAAUAUUCCCGUACUUGGAUAAACUGCGAUGUGGGGACGGAGCAGGUUAGGUUAUCGCACUGUUGGAUAUGUGCGUUUAAGUUGGUAGGUGAGAAGUUUAGGCAAAUCCGGACUUCUAUAACACCGAGAGAUGAUGACGAGGCUCUACGGAGCUGAAGUAACCGAUACCACACUUCCAGGAAAAGCCACUAAGCUUCAGGUUUAUCUAAACCGUACUGAAAACCGACACAGGUGGUCAGGUAGAGAAUACUCAGGCGCUUGAGAGAACUCGGGUGAAGGAACUAGGCAAAAUAGCACCGUAACUUCGGGAGAAGGUGCGCCGGCGUAGAUUGUAGUCCCUUGCGGGCGAAGGUUGAACCGGUCGAAGAUACCAGCUGGCUGCAACUGUUUAUUAAAAACACAGCACUCUGCAAACACGAAAGUGGACGUAUAGGGUGUGAUGCCUGCCCGGUGCUGGAAGGUUAAUUGAUGGUGUAAUCGAAAGAGAAGCUCCUGAUCGAAGCCCCAGUAAACGGCGGCCGUAACUAUAACGGUCCUAAGGUAGCGAAAUUCCUUGUCGGGUAAGUUCCGACCUGCACGAAUGGCAUAAUGAUGGCCAGGCUGUCUCCACCCGAGACUCAGUGAAAUUGAAAUCGCCGUGAAGAUGCGGUGUACCCGCGGCUAGACGGAAAGACCCCGUGAACCUUUACUAUAGCUUGACACUGAACAUUGAAUUUUGAUGUGUAGGAUAGGUGGGAGACUUUGAAGUAGUCACGCCAGUGAUUAUGGAGUCGUCCUUGAAAUACCACCCUUUAACGUUUGAUGUUCUAACGAAGAUUACGAAACGUGGUCUCGGACAGUGUCUGGUGGGUAGUUUGACUGGGGCGGUCUCCUCCCAAAGAGUAACGGAGGAGCACGAAGGUUUGCUAAUGACGGUCGGACAUCGUCAGGUUAGUGCAAUGGUAUAAGCAAGCUUAACUGCGAGACAGACAAGUCGAGCAGGUACGAAAGUAGGUCAUAGUGAUCCGGUGGUUCUGAAUGGAAGGGCCAUCGCUCAACGGAUAAAAGGUACUCCGGGGAUAACAGGCUGAUACCGCCCAAGAGUUCAUAUCGACGGCGGUGUUUGGCACCUCGAUGUCGGCUCAUCACAUCCUGGGGCUGAAGUAGGUCCCAAGGGUAUGGCUGUUCGCCAUUUAAAGUGGUACGCGAGCUGGGUUUAGAACGUCGUGAGACAGUUCGGUCCCUAUCUGCCGUGGGCGUUGGAGAAUUGAUUGGGGCUGCUCCUAGUACGAGAGGACCGGAGUGGACGCACCACUGGUGUUCCGGUUGUGUCGCCAGACGCAUUGCCGGGUAGCUAAGUGCGGAAGAGAUAAGUGCUGAAAGCAUCUAAGCACGAAACUUGCCAAGAGAUGAGUUCUCCCUGUCUUUAAGACAGUAAGGGUUGU